GCAGUAGCUCAUUGGCAGAGCGCUUGCCUAGCAUGUGUGAGGCACUGGGUUCGAUCCUCAGCACUGCA
RNAcentral lists this transfer RNA (68 nucleotides) under Marmota monax (woodchuck). RNAcentral describes it as "tRNA.Ala". Lineage: Eukaryota; Metazoa; Chordata; Mammalia; Rodentia; Sciuridae. The record is from RNAcentral.